This 547-nucleotide ribosomal RNA is filed under the name uncultured bacterium. Its description in RNAcentral is "bacterial SSU rRNA". It matches the Rfam family "Bacterial small subunit ribosomal RNA", at positions 355 to 896 of the family's 1533-position model. The record is from RNAcentral.
UGGGGAAUAUUGCGCAAUGGGGGGAACCCUGACGCAGCCAUGCCGCGUGAAUGAAGAAGGCCUUAGGGUUGUAAAGUUCUUUCGGUAUUGAGGAAGGUUGAUGUGUUAAUAGCACAUCAAAUUGACGUUAAAUACAGAAGAAGCACCGGCUAACUCCGUGCCAGCAGCCGCGGUAAUACGGAGGGUGCGAGUGUUAAUCGGAAUAACUGGGCGUAAAGGGCACGCAGGCGGUUAUUUAAGUGAGGUGUGAAAGCCCCGGGCUUAACCUGGGAAUUGCAUUUCAGACUGGGUAACUAGAGUACUUUAGGGAGGGGUAGAAUUCCACGUGUAGCGGUGAAAUGCGUAGAGAUGUGGAGGAAUACCGAAGGCGAAGGCAGCCCCUUGGGAAUGUACUGACGCUCAUGUGCGAAAGCGUGGGGAGCAAACAGGAUUAGAUACCCCGGUAGUCCACGCUGUAAACGCUGUCGAUUUGGGGGUUGGGGUUUAACUCUGGCGCCCGUAGCUAACGUGAUAAAUCGACCGCCUGGGGAGUACGGCCGCAAGGUUA